AACGAACGCUGGCGGCAUGCCUAACACAUGCAAGUCGAACGAGACCUUCGGGUCUAGUGGCACACGGGUGCGUAACGCGUGGGAACCUGCCUUUAGGUUCGGAAUAACUCUCCGAAAGGGGUGCUAAUACCGAAUAAUGUCUUCGGACCAAAGAUUUAUCGCCUUUAGAUGGGCCCGCGUUGGAUUAGCUAGUUGGUGGGGUAAAGGCCUACCAAGGCGACGAUCCAUAGCUGGUCUUAGAGGAUGANCAGCCACACUGGGACUGAGACACGGCCCCAGACUCCUACGGGAGGCAGCAGUGGGGAAUAUUGGACAAUGGGCAAAGCCUGAUCCAGCAAUGCCGCGUGAGUGAUGAAGGCCUUAGGG
This 366-nucleotide ribosomal RNA is filed under the name uncultured bacterium. RNAcentral's name for it is "bacterial SSU rRNA". It matches the Rfam family "Bacterial small subunit ribosomal RNA", at positions 29 to 422 of the family's 1533-position model. The record is from RNAcentral.